RNAcentral lists this ribosomal RNA (463 nucleotides) under uncultured bacterium. RNAcentral describes it as "bacterial SSU rRNA". It matches the Rfam family "Bacterial small subunit ribosomal RNA", at positions 1 to 507 of the family's 1533-position model. The record is from RNAcentral.
CAGUAGUCACGAGUUUGAUCAUGGCUCAGAACGAACGCUGGCGGCAUGCCUAACACAUGCAAGUCGAACGAGAUCUUCGGAUCUAGUGGCGCACGGGUGCGUAACGCGUGGGAAUCUGCCCUUUGCUUCGGAAUAACAGUUAGAAAUGACUGCUAAUACCGGAUGAUGUCUUCGGACCAAAGAUUUAUCGGCAAAGGAUGAGCCCGCGUAGGAUUAGCUAGUUGGUGAGGUAAAGGCUCACCAAGGCGACGAUCCUUAGCUGGUCUGAGAGGAUGAUCAGCCACACUGGGACUGAGACACGGCCCAGACUCCUACGGGAGGCAGCAGUGGGGGAAUAUUGGACAAUGGGCGAAAGCCUGAUCCAGCAAUGCCGCGUGAGUGAUGAAGGCCUUCGGGUUGUAAAGCUCUUUUACUCGGGACGAUAAUGACGGUACCGAGAGAAUAAGCCCCGGCUAACUCCGUG